AUGGGAUCUACGAAGUGGCCGGGGAUUCUCGUCUUGCUGAGCAUUUGCUCACAGGCUGUAACCCAGUCAGGUUUUCAGGUGUCUGUGUUCUCAGUUACAUCCAAGGCUGUGAUUCUCAGGUGGAACAGCUAUUCUGGAGCCAGCACAUACAAGAUUUCUGUCUCAACCCAAAGCUCGCCGACCGACUUCGUUGCCUUUGCACAGUAUGGUGCAGAUGUAGUGAUGGGCUCCGUCAUCUCUCUGUCCCCAAACGUUAACUAUAUUUUCACAAUUCAAGCUCUGGAUAAUUCCCAAAACACACUGAACAGUGCAACCGUACAGUCAUCCACAGGUAAGAUGCACUUGUGACUAUACCUGUACUUCCUCGACACCAAACAGGAGGCGACAGUGAUGAGAAUCAAACAGGUUUGAGGGGUAGAAACAUUAAACCUUGUUUAACCCAGGGAGACUCAUCACCUAUAAUCCUCUUUUGAACUGACAUUUUAGUUCGUCACAGCUGACUGUGUGUGUUUUAGCCCCUGACCUGAUGGAACCCAUCCAGGCAGUGCAGUCGAAGGACAGCAGAACCCUAGUGGCAGAGUUCAACCUGCAGACGGGGGCGACCAGUUACAUCAUCCGUGUCCAGGACAACAAUGGCUUCUUCAGAGAGGACACAGUGGCCUCCUCCCCUGCUGAGAUCCAGAACCUCACGCCCUACACAGACUACAGGCUGAGCAUCAUGGCCGCGAACAGCGCCGGCCGCAGCCAGCCGUCUCUGCCUGUGGCUGCAAAAACAGGUACUGCUGAACCGAGUUACGUGUUCUCACUUUCACCCAGUCGCUGAAACGAAAGCUAAAGAACUGAGUGGCGACAACAGCUGCAGGCUGCUUUACUGAGAGUCACGCAUUCACUGCAGAACAGAGAGCCUCUC
Molecule: long non-coding RNA, 910 nt
Filed under: Betta splendens (Siamese fighting fish)
Lineage: Eukaryota; Metazoa; Chordata; Actinopteri; Anabantiformes; Osphronemidae
Description: lncRNA (ENSBSLG00000001587.1)
Source: RNAcentral